AAGCACCAAAGGAGGCAAGUGUUCCGGGUCCAUCAGGCAGAUCCAGAGGAUGUGACUGACUGGCGAUGGUGGGAGUGGAGCAGAGAGGCUUUCCAGGCUCCUCCGUGCCUCACGAUUGCAAACCUGGCUCCAUCCUUCUCUGUGCUGACAGGCAGCAUCAUCACGAUAGGAAGCAGCAUCCGCAGAAACUUGCUUUCCUUCUCUGCCUCCUUUCCUGUGGUUCAACUUUCUCUGGGACAGCGAAUGCUCAUUAUUAUCGACUGCUGAUUAGACAGACACACAUCGAGAAUCA
Molecule: long non-coding RNA, 292 nt
Organism: Tupaia belangeri chinensis (Chinese tree shrew)
Lineage: Eukaryota; Metazoa; Chordata; Mammalia; Scandentia; Tupaiidae
Exons: 3
Source: RefSeq, a predicted model, not a curated record